Homo sapiens (human) is the source of this 6978-nucleotide long non-coding RNA. RefSeq lists it as uncharacterized. The transcript is spliced from 2 exons. Lineage: Eukaryota; Metazoa; Chordata; Mammalia; Primates; Hominidae. The record is from RefSeq and is a predicted model, not a curated record.
AAAUAAGUAAAUAAAUAAAUACAUAAAUAAAUAAAUUUACAUUUAGAAAGCCACACAUAGCUAGUGGCUACCAUGCUGAACAGCACAAAAGCCCUGCUAGGCACAUCUUGAGAUGUCACUGAGGCCAGUAACUGACUGGCUGUUUGCUUCAGACCUUGGGGUGAAGAUCCUGCAAAUGUCAGCUGCCCGGCACUCACAUGAAGUAGGCUGCCCCUUGGGAAGGGGAACACAUGAUCGCAGAGGGUUUCUGGCUGCACUGCCCUCCUGCAAGCUGGCGUGGGCUUGGGCCUGCCAGCACCAGAGUCCCAUGACUCUAGCUCCCCCAGAGGCCCUGGCGCUGUCUAUUCACCACCAUCCUAGGACUGCUGCUGCUCGCUCUGCUCCUCCUCUUCCUCCUCCCCAUCCCCCAGCCCAGAAGGGCAGCAGUCCUCUCGAGUUUGCCCCUUCAGACAAACCAGGACAGCUUCAUCCAAGUAUAGAAAUAGUCACCUGCUUUCUCAAAGUCACAUCAGAACAGAGCUGAGAGGAACCUUAGAAGUCAUUCCUUCAUUCCUCCUACCGCCACCCCAUUUUACAGUUGAGAAGCCAAGACCUAGAGAGGUGAUCAGUAUCAUCUUUGGCCUCUUUGCCCAGGGCAGUGACCCACUGAGUCCACAGAUGGGGCAGGAACACGUGUGUGUGCAGGAAAAACAGGAACCAUCUGGCUGGGGUCAGGCAUUCCUUCUGCCUCUUUAUGUCCACAGGAUAGUUUUUUAAAUUGAUGAUGAGGAAGGUGCAUGUUUGGCAAAGAGGACAAAGCUUCCAAUCGUUUAACUGCCAAAACAUACAUUGGGGUCACUUAUUGGUGAGAAACAUUUCUGUCCUGUCCUUACAGAUUCUCUGUAACAUAAUUCUAGUUUUUAAACCCUCCCUUGCACAGAGAUUAGGCCCCAGUUCUCAUAAAUAAAAAAUGCUUGGAGCAUAUUUAUUGAUUGCACGACACCGUUUAUCCAUUUUGAAGUGAGUAGUACUAACCAUCUUAACACUUUUCCAAGCAGAAAGUUCUCCUUCAUGGCUAACUUCACUGACUUUUUCCCCCUCUAACUCAGCGUGGUAUGGAGAGAGCUUAGCCAAGCCAGAUGGACAAGUCACUGAUAGGCCACAUUCUGCUAGGAAUAUGUAAGCUAUAUAUGGCAGACUUUGUUUAAGGUCCAAAGUUCAAGGUUUCAGCUAUGGUCACGCGGAUCAUAUCAGACUUGAAGUGAGAGCUGCUGUCCUGAUUUGAAACAGUCUGCAUAACAAACUGUUGGGCACCACUGAAAUGUAUCAGGGAACUCGCUGCAAAAAAAAAAAAACACUCAAAAUGAAUCAUCCCAAAGUUCUAGCAACCAGGAAACAGACACAGUAAGGUGAGUAGUCUACGUUCCCGUGGGCAUUCUAGCUCAUUUUUAAUGACAUCUUAUGAGUAUAUGGCUCCAUUUCUCUCCAUAAUUAGAGUUAAUAAAUACCUUCAAGAGGAUGUUUAUGGCAGACUUUGGAAUAUUAACUCGUUAUUAUCAGAGUUAUGUUGCUGAAGGUGAAGCCUGGUUUUGAAUACAGAAACCACAGCCAAUGCCUCACUCACCUCAAAAUGCAAAUGUAGCAAAAAUUAAUCCCAUGGGACUGUUGUCUCAUGUCUGGCCAGAAAGAUGAGAAUAACUAAUUUGUUUGAAAGUUUCAACUGCUUCCAUCUUAUGCCUUGGAAAGUUUUUCAAUUAUUCAAACACUACCAUAAAAGAAAGACAAUGGCAUUUGGAGUCAAAAGUAUUUGUAUUGAAAUGCCAAGCCAGUCAUUUAAUGACUGUGAUAGAUUAAAUUACUUUUCAAAAUUCUUCACUCCUUCCCUCCACCACCUCCAUGGAAGAAUUGUAUUUCCCUGCCCUUGACUUUAGCUCAGCCAUGUGAUCAUUCUGGCCAAUGAAACACUGGCAGAUCGGAUGCAAGCCAUGACUUCAAAUGUGCAUGUGCAGUGGGACUUGGCACCUGCACCUGUUCCAGCUGGUUCACUGGCCCAAGAAGGAAGAGAAACGUAAGACUGGACCCAGACUUAAUCUGCAGUUUAGAGCCACUCAGCCAAACCCAACCAAGAUCAGCCAACCCCCAGCUGACCAACAGACACUUAAACAAGAAUAAAUGACUUUUGUUUUAAGUUUUGGGGUGGCUUGUAGUGUAACAACUCCUGAUUGAUACAUUGGCAAAGACUUAGUUUCAGUUACUAUGAGGAUUAUGAUACCAACUUCAUAGUGUGAUCUAAACAAUGCGAUGCUAUGAUCCCUUUACUCAUUGAAGACCAAUAAUGUCCCACUCCUGCCUUGACUUCCCCAGUGAUGUAUGUUACAAUUUAGCUAAACUGGGCCUACAUUUCCCAGUAUUCCCUUCUCUGGUGGUCCUGGGUUAGCACUGACCACAAGAGAAUUUUUCUGCAAGAUAUGGAAGCCAGAAGUAAAGCAGCAGACAUGUUUUUUUAGGCUCUGAAGGCUGGAGCAGGAUCCCAGGAACAGUGGGUGCUUAUGCAUGUUGCAAUCUGCUAGCUUGCCUUGUUCUGGGCCAAGUGGUUAUGCAACUCUGUGGAGACGGGUGCCAGCUUCCCCUAGAAGUCACCCACAGCAUUAAGGUUGGAGGUAGUGAGACAGAUGUAGGUUCCGGUUUGUAUUUUCUCUUGUUCACACCAAGCUUCCUUUUACGACUACCAGUUUGGCCGACCAAUUACUACUUUAGGAUCAACAUCAGAUGCAGAAAUAACCGCCUUCCCUUGAUGCCUCCACUAGCUCCCACGCCGUGUAAAGUCUAAUCCUUAUAACACAUCUCCAUUCUCUCUCACUCAUGGUUCUUCAGCUUCUUGGGAUUGAACCCUGAUACAUUGUGGCUGAGUCCAUUGUUGUCUAAACCUGUAAAUUCAGGCAAGUACCUCACAACAUAGUCUUAAGUAAUUUAUUAUGGAGCAAGAAACACGUAAGAUUAAACUAUUAUUUAUUGAGCCCUUACUAGGUGCAAAAUCUGUGCUAAGUGCUUUACAUGCGUUAUCUCAUUUAAUCUCAUAAAAUGGUCCCCAAUCCCCUAUCCAGUAUGCUUUACUCUCAUCACCAUCAUCAGUUGGUGGUUCGGAGAUACCUGCUAGCUACAGUAAUGCUCUAAGUCCUCACUGCCAUUAGGAAUUGUACACUGGGACCCAACAUCCUCUGGGGUGGACCCGGUGGCCUGUGCUGUCCUAAAGUACACACAGGUAGUGCCCAUUAAGGGUUUGCUUUCCCCUGUUCCUCAUUCUCAACUUUGGCAUUAAUUUUUGUCCAAAGAUACAAUCUUUGACCCUAUCAAACAUUCAGUUCCCCUCUAAGUAUGAAGUCUGGCCCCAAAUAUUUGCCUAGUGACUGGGUCCUGAUACCAAGGUCAGAUCUCACAUGGAAAUUGCCCCAAGUGUCGAUCCUCCUGGACUGAAGCAAUGCUGGUGGCCCUGUGCACUUAUUGGGAUCUCCUACUCCUUACUGGGCAUGUACCCCCAUUUGGGAGCUACUUCAUAUACCAAAUCAAGUACCUCUCACUUGCCACAACUGGGACUGAGAUGGCUAUCUUCCUUGGAAACAGACUGCUGGGCCUACCUGUGCCUCUGCAAUCUACAUUGGUAGCUAGGUUAGUUUCCCGGCAUUUGUCCUGUCUCAGCAGGUGCUGUGGCAAAGUUUUCCAGGUUGUACAAAGAUGAAAAUUAGUAGGGUUUCUAAUUAAGAUAUUCAAGUGGAUUUGAGUGGCUUUUCAGUAUCAGUAACUGUGGUAGUUUUGUACUAUAUUAACUUGGCCAAGCUGGGACUAUUUCCCAGUAUUCUCUUCCCAAUAUGGUUCUGGGUUACAGAUGAGUAAAAACAAGAAAUUGGUGCAAGGUUUGAAAGGCAGAAAGGAGGCAGCAGCUGUGACUGGAGAGCGCUACAGUGUAAGGUGGUGAGAGACAGCUGCAGAGGCGCUGGUGGGUUGGCUUUCAUCUUCCGUCUUUCCUGCUGCAUGCCUGGUGCUUCUUCCUGCCAGCUUUACUGACCAACAGCAACUCCAACCCCAUUACCGAUGCUCGGCUGCAAGCUCAGAGAAUGAAUGGGUUCACACAGCAACCCUGUCAAAGAGGUACUAUGAUCCAGAUUUCACAAACCAGAAUAUAAUUAUUAAGUAACUUCUCGGAGAUCACAGUGGAGGAACUAAGAUUCAAAUUGUCUUCUGACCAGAGCUGGGCUCUGAAACCACUCCAAGAAUUGAUCAUCAGCCUUAAACAAUCAGUUUUCUUUCCUUGUAAUAAACUGAGUUACUCAUCUAAGAAUGUCAACUUUGUCUUACUACCACUUGACUCAGUUAUUUUUUUCCCAAACAAUAGAAAUCCAGAGCCCAAACUGUAGAAAUUGGCAAUUUCCUUAUUUAAAAACUACUGUCCAUAACAAAAAGUCUAUUAACAAUACCCCAAAGCAGUUAAGAUUUCUACCUCAUAUAAAAUCAUAAACAUUUUAAUUCAAAAUGUUGACAUUUAGAAGAAAAACUACAUAAAAGCAAAUGGAUUUGAAUUAUCUGACUUUAUUUAGCAUGCAAUGCAAUUUAUUCUGGCAAUAAAUUAAUAUGUGCAGUUAUAAAAAAUGUUGGGUACUUUUUCCAAGAAAAAUGUUUCUGAAUGUGCACACUAGAAUAUAUGCAGAAUCCUUUAAACAGUCGACUUCAUAUUUUAAACUUGUAAGUGUGGUAACAUCAAGUUUUGGAAGAAUGGACUUUUUCUGUAAUUCAUGAUUUAGUUUGAGUUUAUAAAGGUUUUAAUUGCAAUUUCAGUUCCUACAAGCUACCAAGCCUGAAAUUAGAGAACUGACAGCUGAGAAAGGCAAUCACCUGAUCGAGUCUCCUAAUUGUACAGCUGAAGAAUCCAAUGGCCUUGCCAAAGAUUACGAAGCUAAAAAGAGACAUAGCCUGGAUUACAAGUCAGUUUUUAUAGGUGCUCCAGGAAUGUCUUGAGCUAAAUAAGGCACACGUAUCACACAGAACUUUAGUCGUAUCUCAGAGUCCAGUUUUACUCUGCUUUCUCUUUAUUUUUUAGGCAUGAGGUCUUGCCCUGUCACACAGGCUGGAACGCAGUGGUGUGAUCACAGCUCACCACAGCCUCAAACUCCUGGGCCCAAGCAAUUUGCUCAAGGCCCCACACCUUGCUAAUUAAAAGAAGAUUUUUUAGAGACAGGGUCUUUCUAUGUUGCCCAGGCUAGUCUUGAACUCCUGGCCUCACAUGAUCCUCCUGCCUUAGCUUCCUGAGUAGCUGGGAUUACAGGCACGAGCCACUGCGCCUGGCUCUGGUUUUACCUUCUGCUUAACACAGGAUUCAAUCUUGAUGUGUUCUCCUACAGUUCACAAACUUAGUGACUCAAUUGCUUUAGAAACAAAGCAAUAAAUGAUUUGAUUUAGAAAUAAUUUGGUUUAGAAACAAAACCAUUCCCAUUAUUGCAGCAUUAUCAUCAGUCACUGACUGCUAAUGCUUUUUAUGCUUCUUUUUUCCUGGGAUGUGUGAACCUGGCAACUUUUCUUCCUGUUCUUCUAUGUUCUUAGCAAACCCACAUCAAGGGUGUCUGUUCGUGUUUGAAACUCAUCAGCAUCAGAAAGAGCUAACAUGUUGGCAGUAUCUAGAAAACCAUCAACAUGAUCAUGGGACAGUUCAUUUUGCUUUGCAGCUGAUGCCACCAUAGUGAGUGAGUACUCUGCUCUGUUCAUCUGAGCAGUCACUUUGCUUUUGCAAAGCAGUUGUGGAUUACUUCUGGGAUGUCAGUGUCCCAAAUGGCAAUGAGAUUUCUCAUCACAUCCAGAAUAUGCCACAUAAUGUACUGAGCAUUUUCAGCUCGGUACAUUAUAAUUUUUGGUAAUUUAUUGUCUCAGCCUAGUGGCUGCACACAGCCAUGCUGCUGGCAGGUAAAAAAGGCUACUCACUUGUUUUAACGUCCAAUGAAUGUGUGCAGUACAUUUACCAGUAACAGAACAUUUACAUUCUAGCAAGCUAUUUUUCUAAUUGCAGAAGCCAUUCCUAAAACAACCUGACGGACAUCACUGCAUUAAUAAAUAUUUUUUAUUUAUACACAGUAAAGUUGUGUAUAUAAAGGGAAUUUUCAAAUUUCCAAUGUAAAUGAUUCUAAUUUCUUGCUAUGCUUAGUACUGCAGCAAAAGAAGGGUGAUAGCCUAUCUUUAUAUAUUUCUUUUUCUCCAGGGCAACAUUUCUCUGCAGGAGUGAAUGUCUGGUUUGGCUGCAUGUUAUAGAGGCUUAUUAAAUAUGCUCUCAUGGGCAUAUUUAUUCACAAUAGGUCUCUCAUUUUCAAGCUCAUUCUCCGCUGUAGAUGCUUUACCUUGUAGUAGUGACACAACACUGUGAUAUGCCAAAAGCACAGCUACCAGCCAUGGAAAUUUGACGUUAACCCCUACCUGGAAUGCAAUUUCAUUAGCCUUAUCAAAACACAAACAAAAACUCAGAUACAGAAAUAUUACUUGCUCUGACCUGGCAAAGUCAUUCAAACAUUCCACUUACUACACUGGUAUGCUUUGCUCCUCUCAUUCUGUCACCAAUUUCACUUCUUUUGGAUGUUUUUCUUUUCAUCUUGUCCUGACUUCCAAGGAAUAUGCAGAAUAUAAGAAAAGUCCUCAUUCUUUCAUCACUUCAUUUUGGACUUUCUUUCUUGUUCACUAACUUUUAGCUCUGGAGACAUUGUGACCUCACUGUAUUUUCUCUUUAAUACUAUGACCAAACUCUCUGCAUGAAGCAUUACAGAAAUGACACGCUGAACAGAACAUGUCCAUUCUAAUGGGAAAACUGAGGAGACUGGCUUGGUAUAGAAACUGGAAGUGUGGUACUGAUGAAGCAACUAAUUUUAAAUUUAGAACAGCAAAGCUGAUGUCAUAUUUCAAAGGAAGGGCUAAUUUUAAUAAUCUUAAUAACCAAGUCAAAAAUACAAUCUCUUUUUUAUUAAGAAA